UUGAAUAAACUUGAACAGGCUGUUUUGCUGGCUCUCCUGAGCAUGUGCACGCUUGUCCAUCUUUACUUCUCCAACUGUGCACUUGUUGUAGACCCUGGAAGUCUUGGUUAUUUUACAUUCUGUAAUAGAUUGAGGACUGCUGUGCCACAUCUUACAAGGCCAGCUUUUCCUUGCAAUUUCCAGGUCUAUGGUUUUUUUUUUUUUCCUUCCACGACAUGUUUUUAGAAUGUUGAAUUGGGAAUAUAUACAUAUA
Molecule: unclassified non-coding RNA, 253 nt
Filed under: soil metagenome
Description: partial internal transcribed spacer 1
Source: RNAcentral